CCAUCUUAUUCCCAAUGUCAAGUAUGUGUUCUUAUCAGUUUAAUAUCUGAUAUGUGGAUCAUUGAUCCACACAAUAUUAACUCUUUUUUUUUUAGGGGGAAGGUCCACCACGGUAGCUUGCUAUUGGGACCUUCAACUGUCGUCGCAUUGCACUACUGCCUUGGCCUGGCGCACCCCAC
This 179-nucleotide small nuclear RNA is filed under the name Capsicum annuum. Its description in RNAcentral is "U2 spliceosomal RNA". It matches the Rfam family "U2 spliceosomal RNA". From Rfam's summary of the family: U2 is a small nuclear RNA (snRNA) component of the spliceosome (involved in pre-mRNA splicing). Complementary binding between U2 snRNA (in an area lying towards the 5' end but 3' to hairpin I) and the branchpoint sequence (BPS) of the intron results the bulging out of an unpaired adenosine, on the BPS, which initiates a nucleophilic attack at the intronic 5' splice site, thus starting the first of two transesterification reactions that mediate splicing. The record is from Rfam by way of RNAcentral. Lineage: Eukaryota; Viridiplantae; Streptophyta; Magnoliopsida; Solanales; Solanaceae.